AACGAACGCUGGCGGCGCGUCUUAAGCAUGCAAGUCGAACGGCAAGAUUUGUGCUUGCACAAAUCCUAGAGUGGCGGACUGGCGAGUAACACGUGGGUGACAUACCCUUCAGUUGGGGAUAGCUAUUAGAAAUAGUAGAUAAUACCGAAUACGACCGUAGUUGUUAGAGGACUACGAGGAAAGUAGCUAAGGCUAUGCUGAAGGAUUGGCCCGCGGCCCAUUAGCUAGUUGGUGUGGUAAAGGCAUACCAAGGCGAUGAUGGGUAUCCGGCCUGAGAGGGUGAUCGGACACAUUGGGACUGAGAUACGGCCCGGACUCCUACGGGAGGCAGCAGCUAAGAAUAUUCCGCAAUGGACGAAAGUCUGACGGAGCGACGCCGCGUGAACGAAGAAGGUGGAAACAUUGUAAAGUUCUUUUAAUUGAGAGGAAUAAGCUUUGUAGGGAAUGACAGAGUGGUGACUGUAUCAAUUGAAUAAGCAACGGCUAAUUACGUG
This 494-nucleotide ribosomal RNA is filed under the name uncultured bacterium. RNAcentral describes it as "bacterial SSU rRNA". It matches the Rfam family "Bacterial small subunit ribosomal RNA", at positions 29 to 507 of the family's 1533-position model. The record is from RNAcentral.